UGAAUCUUCAAUCUUCAAAAG
RNAcentral lists this non-coding RNA (21 nucleotides) under Caenorhabditis elegans. Lineage: Eukaryota; Metazoa; Nematoda; Chromadorea; Rhabditida; Rhabditidae. The record is from RNAcentral.